RNAcentral lists this long non-coding RNA (298 nucleotides) under Nicotiana benthamiana. RNAcentral describes it as "long non-coding RNA (NBEN_LNC001728)". Lineage: Eukaryota; Viridiplantae; Streptophyta; Magnoliopsida; Solanales; Solanaceae. The record is from RNAcentral.
GGAAGAAGAAAGUACCGGAUUAAGUAGGCAAUCUUAGGACAAUUCUUUUUCUUCAUUAGGGCGCAAGCUUCUCCUUAAACCCCACACCUCACACUUCCGUUCUUCUGUACUUUUUUCAGUACAGAAGCAAAAAAAAAUUCUUUUUGAGAUGAAGAGAACACAAGAGAUAAUUCAAUUCACUAAGCAGCCCUACGUUGAAGAUGUUGGUCCUAGAAAAAUGUCAGUUAAUUGAAUAUUUAUUGUUUUUUAUUUUCUGGUUUUAGUUAAUGUCUUGAUCAAUUGUUUUUAUUAUUGUUGA